AAGUCGUAACAAGGUUUCCGUAGGAGAACCUGCGGAAGGAUCAUUAACACGUAUCCAAACGUAAAAAACCCCUCCCCUCGUGAUCAUUCAAUCCUGCUUUUGUAACCCGCGUAGUUCGGAAUCUCUGGUAAAUCAUAGCCCGGAAAGUAGUUUGUUUCCCCAAGCAGUUAGUGUCUGAAAGUGUCACUGAUUGUGCAAGGAUAGACCGUACACUCGGGCAGGAGCUAUGCCAAAGGGUCCCCAUGCCCCCUUAUAACCCCACAGUUUAAUGUGAAGCUCAAUGUAAAAUCUAUCUAAUAAAAAUAUUUGGGUAAAAAAACCGAACAACUGUUAACAAUGGAUAUCUUGGUUCUC
RNAcentral lists this unclassified non-coding RNA (354 nucleotides) under fungal sp. RNAcentral's name for it is "partial internal transcribed spacer region". The stretch from base 1 to 46 matches the Rfam family "Eukaryotic small subunit ribosomal RNA", at positions 1786 to 1831 of the family's 1831-position model. The record is from RNAcentral. Lineage: Eukaryota; Fungi.